RNAcentral lists this ribosomal RNA (394 nucleotides) under Bos indicus (zebu cattle). RNAcentral describes it as "partial small subunit ribosomal RNA". It matches the Rfam family "Bacterial small subunit ribosomal RNA", at positions 848 to 1405 of the family's 1533-position model. Lineage: Eukaryota; Metazoa; Chordata; Mammalia; Artiodactyla; Bovidae. The record is from RNAcentral.
AUUACAUAAACAAAAUUAUUCGCCAGAGUACUACUAGCAACAGCUUAAAACUCAAAGGACUUGGCGGUGCUUUAUAUCCUUCUAGAGGAGCCUGUUCUAUAAUCGAUAAACCCCGAUAAACCUCACCAAUUCUUGCUAAUACAGUCUAUAUACCGCCAUCUUCAGCAAACCCUAAAAAGGAAAAAAAGUAAGCGUAAUUAUGAUACAUAAAAACGUUAGGUCAAGGUGUAACCUAUGAAAUGGGAAGAAAUGGGCUACAUUCUCUACACUAAGAGAAUCAAGCACGAAAGUUAUUAUGAAACCAAUAACCAAAGGAGGAUUUAGCAGUAAACUAAGAAUAGAGUGCUUAGUUGAAUUAGGCCAUGAAGCACGCACACACCGCCCGUCACCCUCA